GGUGGCUCAGUGGUUGAGUGCUUGCCUUGCAUGCAUGAGGUCCUGGGUUCGAUUCCUCAGCACCA
This 65-nucleotide transfer RNA is filed under the name Dipodomys ordii (Ord's kangaroo rat). It matches the Rfam family "tRNA". Rfam says of the family: Transfer RNA (tRNA) molecules are approximately 80 nucleotides in length. Their secondary structure includes four short double-helical elements and three loops (D, anti-codon, and T loops). The record is from Rfam by way of RNAcentral. Lineage: Eukaryota; Metazoa; Chordata; Mammalia; Rodentia; Heteromyidae.